UGGGGGAUAUUGGACAAUGGGGGGAACCCUGAUCCAGCGACGCCGCGUGAGUGAAGAAGUAUUUCGGUAUGUAAAGCUCUAUCAGCAGGGAAGAAAGAAAUGACGGUACCUGAGUAAGAAGCCCCGGCUAACUACGUGCCAGCAGCCGCGGUAAUACGUAGGGGGCAAGCGUUAUCCGGAAUUACUGGGUGUAAAGGGAGCGUAGACGGUUAAGCAAGUCUGGAGUGAAAGGCGGGGGCCCAACCCCCGGACUGCUCUGGAAACUGUGUAACUGGAGUGCAGGAGAGGUAAGCGGAAUUCCUA
Molecule: ribosomal RNA, 303 nt
Filed under: uncultured bacterium
Lineage: Bacteria
Description: bacterial SSU rRNA
Rfam family: Bacterial small subunit ribosomal RNA
Source: RNAcentral